AAAGUCGUAACAAGGUUUCCGUAGGUGAACCUGCGGAAGGAUCAUUAUUGAAUCUUACCAAUAACACACACACACUUGUGAACUGUUCUAUACACACUAUGAUAUAUUGACUUAAGCUUUAUAUAACCAAUUGAAUACAACUUUUAACAGUGGAUCUCUUGGCUCCU
RNAcentral lists this unclassified non-coding RNA (167 nucleotides) under Basidiomycota sp. RNAcentral describes it as "partial contains small subunit ribosomal RNA, internal transcribed spacer 1, and 5.8S ribosomal RNA". The stretch from base 1 to 47 matches the Rfam family "Eukaryotic small subunit ribosomal RNA", at positions 1785 to 1831 of the family's 1831-position model. The record is from RNAcentral. Lineage: Eukaryota; Fungi; Basidiomycota.